UUCACGAAAUUAGUAAAAUAAUGUUAAAAUUAGUGCACUCUCACUUUUGCCCCCGAGCGCCCACACAUAUAUACAUUAUAUGUGCAUACCGCAAGCGGGGCGUAGAAAGUAAAACUAGAACUAAUAUACAAUAAGGGGCGAAUUAUAGAUGUAUGGUAACCAUCAUGGUAUCGUUAAAGAAAGCAAGCAAUCGAUGGAACAAAAAAGUUCAUGUUCAUGAAAAUAGAGAAAACAAGGAAUGUAUUUUUUCCAAAGGCACAUCUUAAGUCUUACUCUUAUUAGGUUAUAUUUUAUAAGCCAAGUAAAGAACCAAAAAUGUUCCUAGCAGAAAGAUUAGUGAAUAGAAAACCAUCAUAUAUGGAUAACUACAUCGUGGCCUAAAACUUAUUCCUAUAAUGUGACAUUCUCCUGUGGCUUAACACAGGAAGCAGACGCUGAAGUGGAUCCACACGAUGAUGAAUGCUUCUUGGGAUAGUCAUAUCCACAGGCACGACCCCAAUUACAUAGACCUAUAUUUUCAUAAUUUCAAUACACCUUUCCCUGUUUCCAAAAAACUUACGGUGAUGAAUAUCACAAAAAUAAAAAUACAUGACCAUCAUAGCUUCUUUUUGUAAUUGAUACAACCAACAUGCUAUCAUUUAAAGAUUCAUUGAUUGAAAUAACAUAAAAGGAACAAUGCUUCACGUCAGAUUUUAGAGAUUUAAAUACUUCGGGGGCCUAUUGGUAGAGCAACAUCAUUGAGAACACAAGGUUCUCCUUUUUGGAGUAUAAUCCUCUGUGGUUUCAGUUUUUUCCUUGCCUUUUGGUGCCUAUUUAUAUCGUAAAGCACUGAUAAUAUCAGAUACCUUGCAAAGAAUUACCAACAUAUGAAAAAACUUGAGGUUAAAAGUUACUAAUUAGGUAUCAUUGUAUAUAACAUUGUACCCACUCAAUAAACAUUUUUUGAGGCAAAAAUGAGAAAUUUUCGGUUGUUACCAGAGGCAAUGAAAGGUGCGAUUGAGUCAAAUUCACAGCUUCUUUGUGGUUACUCAUCGGUCCAGGAGUAAAAAUCAUGAUAGGAUUAGGGUGGUGAAACCUACAGGAUACACCAUAACUGCACAUGCCAGUACGCAUGUAGAAAGAACAAUUCAUCUUGCCCUGGUCACAAAGGUAAUACAGUUUUUGACAGACCAAUUAUCCCUAACAUGCUCUGCAACUCUCAUAGAUCAUUUAAUUAGAUCAUUAAUUAGCACGGUAGACAAGAUCUAUUGAAAUAAAUUACCAAUCUUUUAGUAUAACCAAGAUAGUUAACUUGCAAGGGAAGAUUGUUAGCCUCUAAUAUGGAGUGAUUGAAUCUACAUGAAUCCCCAUAUUUGCAAAGACCAGCUGGGUAAAACUGCAGCACGUGUGAAAAGGUAAGAAGCAUGUAAAACUAUAAAGGAACUCUCUUAAUGGUAAUAUGCAUAUAUAAUGUUAAUGCAUAUAACGAAUUUACCUCUGGGUGUAACUUUCUUAUGUGAUCAGUUCAAGUGACAUACAUCAAAUUUUGACCUCAAAAUUAUAUAUACUGAAUUUCAAAGCGUUAACAUGAUCUGUUAAGACAUGUACUUUAAGUUGUUCUCUUCUAAAGUAUACUCCUUAGCAAUUUCAACUUUUUCAUGCCAGUUUUUACCAUAAAGUCACUAUAUCAACUUAUACCUUGCAAUGAAAUCUUUGUCAUGUAAAUUGAGAUGAUUGAGUUGAUUCUACAAUAUUUUUGCUAUUAUUCAUUGAUCCAAGAUGCAGGACCAUGAGAAGGUCACAGUGGUGAAACCGAUCAAUGAUGUUUGUAAAUGAACCAAAUGAACACGAACAAGGGCAUGUUCGUGUUCACUCAUUUAACUUUAACCAACCACGGACAGUUAAAUAAACGGAUCUUCAUGUUUGUGUUCGUUCAUUAACAUUCUUAACGAACAGUUCAUGAACUUUUGUAUUAAAAAAUAUAAUACGUACGUACAAUGUAUAUGCAUAUAUAUGGUACUUUUGUAUUAAUAUUUAAACGAACGGACGUAAACGAACUGACGUGACAUGUGUUCAUGUUUGUUCGUUUAAUUAAAUGAACAAAUUUUUUUUGUUCAUGUUCGUCCGCUUAUUAAAUAAACGAACUUGCCACUAAACAAUUCAAUAAACGUUCAGUCCGUUUACAUGCCUACUACAGAAUGCACCAUAACCACCCAUACAAGUACGGAUGUAGAACGAACAGUUCAUCUUGCCCUGGUCAAGAAGAUAAUACAAUUUACUACAGGGCAUUUACCUCUAAAUAUGUUCUGCAAAUGAACUCUCAUAAACGAAUUUAUCAAAUCAUUAAUUAGCACAAUAGAAAAUAUCAAAAUAAGAGGAUUCCUUCAUCUUGAAAGGUUGCCCUCCUUUGUAUUUUUUAAACAUUUUUUACACCUAUACACCACCAAAUCUUGCAAUUGUAAGGAUUUUAUAUAAGGGAGAGUGACGUGCCUAAGCCCGUGAGACGAACUUGAUCGAUGUAAAAAGUUAAAGGGAGCAGGUAUCAAAUGAUGGAGGUAUAUUCCAACUUAGAGCUCUAUAAUUCCACUUUGGAAGUGAAGGAAAAAAAAUCGUAGAAGCCUACGCUCAUGAUAUCCCAUAGAUUAAUGCCAACCGUAGUGAUUUUGAAAAAAAGAGUAGAUCCACACUUGCAGAGGCAUGCUACAUUGUCAUGGAACAGAUGAUUGUUGCAGGAACUGAGAACACCAGAUCGUGUUCUGUAAUUAUAGCAUUUUCUUAUUAGACAAGUAGAUGAAUAUAUGCAACCUUCUUUAGUGGAUUUAAAAAUCGACAGACAAACGAGGCCAAUGAUGCUGGAUUGGUUUUUCAGGAAGCUCACACGAGAUGGAGGUACUAUGCUCAGAAGGUUCAUAAUUUCCUCGCUUAAUCGACCUUUCUUCCGAAAAAAUGUUAUUAUUAGUGCCUAAUGAAGUUAUCUGGAUGAGGAAAUAUCACCUGCUGCUAUACCUCAAUCUACAAAAAUCCUUGUUAAUGGUAGUUGGGUAGGGAUCCACGGCAAUGCCCCCGAGCUCUUGGUGAGGACCCUGAGACGACAUGUGUGAUUUUCUUAUCUUAGCAUGGCUGAUUAAGGGUGGUGUUAGAAUAAUGGAACUGUUAAUUGAUUUUUAAUAUUAAAGGUUGAUGUAAACACCCAAGUUGGAGUGAUAAGAGACGUUCGUUUAAAAAAAGAAAGCAUUGAGAGUUAUUGCAGAACACUUGUCUACUAAAGAAGUAGAAGUGAUUAAAGAUAUGUUUACAUUGAUGGUGAUGGGAAAGUUACAUUUGAUAAAGUAUUAAAGAAAGUCGGUUCACAAUUGUCUUAAUCUGAGAUCUGACUGCUCAUGGAUGUGGUAAUGCUAAAAGAUUGUGAAUGCUAAACUUCUACCAUUUGUUCAUACUUUAGGCUGAUGUUGAUGGCAAUGGCGUACAGCGUGCCAGAGUGUGGAGAGUUUGUACUUUGUGGCAGUGACAAUUCAUUUGCAGAUGAGCAUCUACACAAAGCGUUUUUAUGUUUUUUUUUUGAUGAAGAUGGAAGCGGUUAUUUUGAGCUUGAUGAGCUAGAACAAGUGCUGUAUGAACCUGGUCAUGCAGACAUGCGAGUACUCAAUGAAAGCAUGAAACAAAGAAGUUGAUACAGUUGACAAGGAUGGUCAAAUCAGUUUCAAGGAAUUUUCAUCAUCGGGAACAGAUUGGAGGAAGGCAUCACGACAAUAUUCGAGAGAGUGAUUCAAGAGCUUGAGUGUAAACUUGAUGAAAGAUGGAUCGAUGCGGCUCAAGCACGGGUUGACCGGUCAAAGUGUUGCAGGUUGAAGUAAUGAAGUACACAAUAUUCUUUUAUUUUUUAUGUCUUCAGACCAUGCAUAGUAGUAAAGGAAGACCCUUGGGCAUUAUCCGCCAUGUGGUGGUUCAGUCAGCAAUGGGGCAUU
Long non-coding RNA from Helianthus annuus (common sunflower), 3944 nucleotides. RefSeq lists it as uncharacterized. The transcript has 7 exons. Lineage: Eukaryota; Viridiplantae; Streptophyta; Magnoliopsida; Asterales; Asteraceae. The record is from RefSeq and is a predicted model, not a curated record.